AAUAACGAAAAGCGAUUCUCCGUGCCUGUCAAAAAUCUAUUUUGAUCCUGGCCUCGAACAAAUCGCUACACUUCUUCUUCUUCUUAUUCUUUAUCUUAAAAAAAGUAAAUUUUAUAAAAUCCAAUCAAAGGUGUGUGCCAAGAGCUUGGACCCACCCUAGAAUUCUCAGGCAUUGAACAUGACCAGAAAUUGACAAUUUCAUGCAACUCAAUCAAACAGCUUAAACAGUUUCGUACAACUCGGGUAUUGAACAUGACCAGAAUUCUCAGGGAUUUCAAUGCCUUUAUGAUGAUAGUUUCCGGUUUGCAGCAAGUUUCCCAAGGAAGAUGGAUAGGAAUGUAGACUUCAUGCCUGUCAUUUACUUUUUAUUUUGGUUGAAUGCUUGGAAGGCAUAAAUGUUUUUUUGUUUAUCUGGUAUUGCUGAGAGGCAUAAAACAUUUGCCACAUUCAUAAUUGACUAGUGCCUUCAAUCCUUCUGCUCCAAUGUUAAAUUUUUUUCCCCCUUUCCUGUUGAUUCCUAAGUCCAGGAGGCUGAAUGGAUAUUGUUUAUUUUACAUGAAGUGAGAAAAGUCGUGUUGCCUGGAUGGCUUUUGGCCUUACAGUGAAGGUUCAAGCAUCAGACACUGCAAAACUCCGCCAUGUGAAAAAGGAAGGAGGUGUUUUUUUUUUUUUUGUUUUUGGCAACUUAAGAAUGCUGAUGAUUCUGGUUUUUGUUAUUGACCCAUUUCCUUUUAGGCGAAACUGCUGAUUUCAUGUUCAUAUUGUUUCCAC
This is a non-coding RNA of Carica papaya (papaya), 771 nucleotides long. The record is from RefSeq and is a predicted model, not a curated record. Lineage: Eukaryota; Viridiplantae; Streptophyta; Magnoliopsida; Brassicales; Caricaceae.